UAUGUGGCUGUUCCUAUGCUUUUUAGUUUUUUUUUUUUUGACGUAAUUUGUAUCAACGUUUUAUUGGGUGCGUAUUGAAGGUGUAUGUUAAGGCUCAGAAAUCAAAAGCCUACUUCAAGAGAUAUCAAGUCAAGUUCAAGAGAAGAAGAGAGGGAAAGACCGAUUACCGAGCCAGAAUUCGGUUGAUUAAUCAGGACAAGAACAAAUACAACACUC
This is a non-coding RNA of Cajanus cajan (pigeon pea), 216 nucleotides long. The record is from RefSeq and is a predicted model, not a curated record. NCBI's taxonomy places the organism in Eukaryota, Viridiplantae, Streptophyta, Magnoliopsida, Fabales, Fabaceae.